GGGUAUGUGGUCUAAACGGUCAAGACGCCACCCUUCUUCUGUAAGUAUACAGGAGAAGUCGCAGGUGAGGCAACGGCCUCGUUCGUGAGGAGAUGCGGGUUCGAGUCUCGCCAUAUCCA
Molecule: transfer RNA, 119 nt
Organism: Alternaria alternata
Lineage: Eukaryota; Fungi; Ascomycota; Dothideomycetes; Pleosporales; Pleosporaceae
Rfam family: tRNA
About the family: Transfer RNA (tRNA) molecules are approximately 80 nucleotides in length.
Source: Rfam